This 1225-nucleotide ribosomal RNA is filed under the name uncultured bacterium. RNAcentral's name for it is "bacterial SSU rRNA". It matches the Rfam family "Bacterial small subunit ribosomal RNA", at positions 294 to 1532 of the family's 1533-position model. The record is from RNAcentral.
AAGGAGGUGAUCCAGCCACAUGGGGACUGCGACACGGCCCUGACACCUACGGGUGGCAGCAACUAGGAAUCUUGGACAAUGGGGGAAACCCUGAUCCAGCGACGCCGCGUGGAGGAUGAAGGUCGAAAGAUUGUAAACUUCUUUUGUAUGGGAACAAAAUGAGGGUACCAUACGAAUAAGCUACUGCUAACUUCGUGCCAGCAGCAGCGGUGAUACGGGGGUAGCGAGCGUUAUCCGGAAUUAUUGGGCGUAAAGAGAUGCGUAGGCGUUUUAUUAAGUCUUAAGUGAAAUUCUAUAGCUUAACUAUGGACCUGCUUAGGAAACUGAUAGAAUUGAGAAAAGCAGAGGAAGGUAGAAUUCUCCGAGGAACGGUAAUAUGUGUUGAUACGGAGAGGAAUACCAAUGGCGAAGGCAACCUUCUGGGCUUUUUCUGACGCUGAGGCUCGAAAGCGUGGGGAGCAAAAAGGAUUAGAUACCCUUGUAGUCCACGCCGUAAACGAUGCUUACUAUGUAUUCGUUAUGUUGAUUUCUUUUCUUCGGAAAAGAUUUCCCCGCAUAAUGAGUGCAACAGCUAACGCGUUAAGUAAGCCGCCUGUGGAGUACGGCCGCAAGGCUAAAACAUAAAGGAAUUGACGGGGACCCGCACAAGCGGUGGAGCGCCUGGUUUAAUUCGACGAUGACCGAAGAAUCUUACCAGGAUUUGACAUGUAGAGAAUUCCAGGGAAACUUGGAAGUGCCCGCAAGGGAGCUCUAACACAGGUGCUGCAUGGCUGUCGUCAGCUCGUGUCGUGAGAUGUUUGGUUAAGUCCAUCAACGAGCGCAACCCUCACCCAAUGUUGUAUUUCUUUGGGGACUGCCUGGUUUCAACCAGGAGGAAGGCGAGGAUGACGCCUAGUCCGCAUGGCCCUUAUGUCCUGGGCAACACAGACGCUACAAUGGUCGGUACAAAGGGAAGCCAACCCGCGAGGGGGAGCAAAUCCCAUAAAGCCGAUCUCAGUUCGGAUUGCAGUCCGAAACUCGACGCAUGAAGCUGGAAUCGCUAGUAAACGUGCGUCAGUUAUAGCACGUUGAAUACGUUCUCGGGUCUUGUACACACCGCCUGUCAAGUCAUGGGAGUUGGAAAUACCCGAAUGGUUAUCGGUUUUAAUCAGAAGGUAGGUUCGGCGACUGUGAUUAAGUCAUAACAAGGUAGCCGUAGGGGAAUCUGCGGAUGGAUCACCUCCUU